Molecule: long non-coding RNA, 307 nt
Filed under: Elaeis guineensis (African oil palm)
Lineage: Eukaryota; Viridiplantae; Streptophyta; Magnoliopsida; Arecales; Arecaceae
Description: long non-coding RNA (EGUI_LNC029964)
Source: RNAcentral
GCUGACAGGACUCAGCUCGCUUCUUCUUGGGAUUCCAAUGAAUUCCAGUCCCUAAGAAGAACUGCCGAAGGGCUUUCUGUCGUCCUUGAGGAGAGGACGGCUGAGUUGCAGUAAUUGAAGAUCCAGCUGGCAUACGAGCAGCAGGUCGUCAAGGACGCGGAGGCAGAAUCCGAGGUCCUGAGAAAGAGGCGUCAGAGGCGGAGAAUGAAAGCCAGCGAUAUCAUCGAAGAUACAUGGAGAUAUUAAUGAGAGAAAGAGAAUUGGAAGCAGAAGUCGGGUGUUUAAGGGAUUCCCUGGCGAGGGUCGA